Molecule: long non-coding RNA, 491 nt
Organism: Nicotiana attenuata
Lineage: Eukaryota; Viridiplantae; Streptophyta; Magnoliopsida; Solanales; Solanaceae
Exons: 2
Source: RefSeq, a predicted model, not a curated record
AACCCUCAUCGAAUCUCUAUACAUAAUGCAGGUCACAGCAGCAUUAUUAAUGUCGGAAGCGAAAUGAUGCAUUGAGCUUCAGAAGCAAUGCUCCCUUGCUCUAUGUAUAGGUGUAAAUUCCAUCACUCGACGAACAACAAAUGAUCAACUUUUACAUGAAAAUUCUGUUGGUAGUAUGUGGGCUUCUUCAAAUUAAGGAUUCACAACUCCCUCAGAUCCAUUCUGCUGAUAGUACCCCCUCACAGGGGACGUAGUAACAUAACUUGAUGGCGCUUGCCCCCGUCUCGCCUCCAUUACAUAGCUCACAUUGUGUGGGUUUUCCUCUCAGGCCCCUUGAACAACUUGACCAUAUUCUUACUCUUAGAGAUUCAUUCAUUAAUUUUGUUUAUUCGGACACGAAUCGUGCUCUCUUUUUGACUGCCAUACUGAUGUGUAUAAACUGUAAUUCUUAUUUGUGAGUGAAGGGAUGUUGAAGUGCUUACCAUUAAUUA